Molecule: long non-coding RNA, 784 nt
Organism: Daphnia pulex (common water flea)
Lineage: Eukaryota; Metazoa; Arthropoda; Branchiopoda; Diplostraca; Daphniidae
Exons: 4
Source: RefSeq, a predicted model, not a curated record
AUGGUUAGGGCGCUAUCGCUUACUUCCGGUAUGCUUCCGGAAAAUUUACAUAAAACUAGCAAGUGAGCAUUGUUUUCUGUACAGUUCUAAGGACUGAAGGCUAGGUUUAAGCAAACAAAUAUGACUUUUUCAAGUGUUGUGUGUAUCUUAAGACCACCUGCAAAUACUGAGUUUUGAGACGUGUCAAAUAGAUGGCGUGUUGAUUGUGUCAAUUAUGGAAUGGCGGUUUGUUGUCAAAAGCAGUCAAAAGUUAAGCUAUCCUUUCUUCGAAAAUUACCAAUGAGUUCAUAGGAGGAAACGUGAAAGGGUCGUGGCCGUGUGCAGCCAACCGUUAACUAUUUUGUUCAAAAUCAUAGUAUUCUACUGAAUGUGCCAUUGAAAUGAUACAGAUCACCAACGGCCCAGCAUAGACCAAUCUCUCAUUUCAUCUUCUCGAGAGAAGAUUGGAUAACUCAUUGGUGGUUUCAUGUGCAAGUUCACUGAACAUGUCACUGAAAUGUAUUCGAAGUUCUAAACUUCAGGUUUCUAAAUUUGCAUGGCAGACUUUAUGAGAAGUCAUGUCCUUUCAAGAAAGUCAACAAGAUUCCUUGUUUGCUAACCUGUUGGCUGGUACCCUUGAAUCUCCCUUUAUACUUUCUUAAGCGGGCCAUCUUUAUUUGAGGUAUUGUUUUCUGUCGCUACAAUCUUGUUUGAAUAUUAUUGCCAUCCAAAUAAAUGUUCAUUCUGCUUACAGGGUAAUCCUUCGCUACUUGUCAUGGGCUUCAUCCACUGGUGAAAACAACGA